GAUUUUCAAAUAUUACUUUUAUUUCUGUAGUGCAGCACAUUGCAGAAAAGCAUUAACAAGUGAACAUUCCAGUAUAUCAUACAUAUAAACAAAAAUCACAUUCAUGCUCCAGACUGCAGCAGCCAGUCAUAAAUCAAUCAACAAAUAUGAGUCAAAACUAUUUACUUUGAACAUUUUUCAUAUCUCACAUGUUCCUGUGUGCAAAGUAAAUAUCUUUAGAUUAAAAAAAAAUCUAUGCACGUGUAUGAUCUCCAGACCUGAAAGAACAAAACACAUCAGACUUCUUGUGUUUUCCUUUUAAAAUAGUUUUUUUACUCCAUCGUUUCUUUUCUGCAUCUUUUUAUUGUACUGGCACUUCCUCACUGGUCCCAUUUAGUCCCAUUUAGUGGUUUGUUUACUCUCUGUCGUUUCACCAUCAUCACUGAUGUUACUGCUGUUUGCACCAAAGUUCUGCAUUAUUUAAACAUGAAUGUGGAUAUUUGACCUGGUUUAAUGUGUUCACCCCUCAGUCUGCUGAGAGGAUCACCACUCAUCUCUUUAGUUAGUCUGUUAGUGUAGUGAUUUGUAAUAAAUGCAUUUUUUAAUGUUUGAAGUUACGAACAGCUGCAGUGAGCACUUAGAGCCACUAGAUGUACAGAUGGAUAGAAAAUAGUUUGAAAAGCCUUUACUUUGCUCACACGAGUCACGUUUGACAUCAAAUUGUUACCUAGAAAGAAGAGUUACAUUAACUAGUUACUUACAGGAAAAGGAUGAAAUCAGAAACUGUGUAGUGUUUGUGAUCCUGGCUGUCGACUAUUUCAGACUUCCUCUAAGCUACACUGACAUCACUCCUCCUUUGCUUUGAACUAUUCACAGCUGAACACAGCGUAACUGUAAAACCACAGAGUUGAACUUCCUGUUAGGAUGUUCUGCUCUAAAUGCUCCCUCACUUUUUGUCUCUAUGACAAACUAAAAAUGAUAAAAGGAUCAGCUGACAUGCAUGACGCCAGUUUUUAUGCUAUAGCAUGAAAAUGUUUUAGUUUUAAUUUAGUAUUUUAGUGUCUUCUGCUCCUUACAUAGUGUAGUAAAGUUUCCUUUAUGCAGUGGGUUUGUCUUUAGUGUCUGGUCGUUCUGGCAUUUUAAGCUGGAAAGCUUCACAAAGGUCAGAGGUUACAAAUUCAAUUCUCUGAGUAACACAUCCAUAUCAUAAACUGAUAUAAUGUUCCUAUGAUAAUGAAUAAAUAAUAAAAUAAGCUUAGCUGCUAUUGGGGAACAAACAUGUUCCAAUAUCCCCACUGGGUGGCUUUGGAAAAUGCAGCUUUGCUGCUUUUCAGCUGACGACCUCAUCAAAGGUGAUUCAUACGACACCAAAGUAAAUAAACAAUAAACAGGCUGUUAAGUUACAGAAAGUUCCUGUUUUUUCACCAUCUAGUACAGAAAUUUAUUAGAGAAACUUCAGAGGUGCUGGUAAAGUUGCACUUCUCUUUCUUACACUGAGAUAUGUCAGAUUAAAUGUGAACUUAAACUACUUUACAUCGAGGGGAGUUUAAUGUGGCCCACGAUGUAAAACCAGUUUGACAUCCCUGACCCAGAGUCAUUCACUAAUAUUAAUGAACUGGUAAACAACAUGCUGUCAUUCAAACAGGGUUCAUCUUCACUUUUAAGGUCAGUAUUCACUCAGAUCUGCCAGUGACAGUGAUGGAAGAGCAACACCUCCACCUUUUAAAUACAUUAAAUGGAAAGGAUUUAUAAUACAGUGGGUCGUUCCAUGUCACUGUGAUAGAUCUGGAUAGAUGAUGAACAUUAGAGGUACACAAUAUUUUACCUUCAUACAAUAAAAUAUUUCAGGUGUUAGAGGUCAUUGAGUUACACAUAGAGCAGGUGAAACUUGUCAAUUAUUAUGUCCUAAUAUUUUUUUUCCAGGAUUUUUCUCAAUUAUAGCGAUUCGGGUAAAUGAUGCAUCAUUUGUCUGAACUCUGUAGUGAUGUCAUGUAGUGUGAUCCAGGAUUAAAUUAAACAAUUAGUUUUUAAACCAGUGUUGUUUUGUAAGUUUAGUGUUUUGUUAGUUUACACAUACUAAACCGUAGAGACAUUUGAAACCUGCUGUUCAUGAGGAUGCUAGUUAAAAUCCCGGUUCUGUUGUUUAUGUUUUCUGUAGAUCACAAAACCAACAACAGCAGCAACAAGAAGCACAGCAGGAACACUCAGACCAGCGAUGAGUCCAACAGGUGCAACUGUGAGUUCUGCUGUCUGACCUGCAGGUGAGAAACAGGUGUGAGGUGUCAGCUGUCAGGUAGGUGAUGAGUGAAGAACAGAACAGAAUCCAUUUCCUCUUCAAACUGCUGUCAGACAUUAUCUACUGCACUCUGAUCACAUCACUCAGACCAGCUGCUUUCUACAAAGUCUCAUCAACAACAUCUUUAGAAACAAACAUCAACAACCAGGAAGCAGCUUCACCUCUGAUCACACACACACUCAACUCUACUCACUCACCUGAAACAGUCAGGCUGACAGUGUUGAUGAUCUCCCAUGAAUCUGUCACUCCGUUGAAAAUAUCACAAUUGUAUGAUCCACCAUCAGCAGUCGUCACAUUCUUCAGAAUCAAAGAUACGUCUCCAUCCUUCAUCUGUCUGUCCUGCAGAUCCACCCGGUUCUUAAAAGAUGGAUGCUGCUCUUCUGGAUCCAGCUGCUCAUCCCGGAACAGAAGCACAUAUUCAUCUCCCAGGUCAGCUCUGCUCCACUUCACAGCUCUGAUGGUUUUGUCUGGUGAUACUCGACAUGGUAGAACUACGUCCUGUCCAGACUCAGCUGUGGUAGUGCUCUGGGCUGAAAAAGGAAACAACACAGAGCACAGAGGUUAAAGGUCAAAGUACA
This is a long non-coding RNA of Oreochromis aureus, 2853 nucleotides long. The record is from Ensembl. Lineage: Eukaryota; Metazoa; Chordata; Actinopteri; Cichliformes; Cichlidae.